AUAGUUGGUGGGGUAAAGGCCUACCAAGGCAUCGAUCAGUAGCUGGUUUGAGAGGACGACCAGCCACACUGGAACUGAGACACGGUCCAGACUCCUACGGGAGGCAGCAGUGAGGAAUUUUGGACAAUGGGCGCAAGCCUGAUCCAGCAAUGCCGCGUGAGUGAAGAAGGCCUUCGGGUUGUAAAGCUCUUUUGUCAGGGAAGAAACGGUGAGGGCUAAUAUCCCUUGCUAAUGACGGUACCUGAAGAAUAAGCACCGGCUAACUACGUGCCAGCAGCCGCGGUAAUACGUAGGGUGCAAGCGUUAAUCGGAAUUACUGGGCGUAGAGCGUGCGCAGGCGGUUUUGUAAGUCUGUCGUGAAAUCCCCGGGCUCAACCUGGGAAUUGCGAUGGAGACUGCAAGGCUAGAAUCUGGCAGAGGGGGGUAGAAUUCCACGUGUAGCAGUGAAAUGCGUAGAGAUGUGGAGGAACACCGAUGGCGAAGGCAGCCCCCUGGGUCAAGAUUGACGCUCAUGCACGAAAGCGUGGGGAGCAAACAGGAUUAGAUACCCUGGUAGUCCACGCCCUAAACGAUGUCUACUAGUUGUCGGGUUUUAAUUAACUUGGUAACGCAGCUAACGCGUGAAGUAGACCGCCUGGGGAGUACGGUCGCAAGAUUAAAACUCAAAGGAAUUGACG
This 677-nucleotide ribosomal RNA is filed under the name uncultured beta proteobacterium. RNAcentral describes it as "SSU rRNA". It matches the Rfam family "Bacterial small subunit ribosomal RNA", at positions 245 to 915 of the family's 1533-position model. Lineage: Bacteria; Pseudomonadati; Pseudomonadota; Betaproteobacteria. The record is from RNAcentral.